RNAcentral lists this ribosomal RNA (439 nucleotides) under uncultured bacterium. RNAcentral's name for it is "partial 16S ribosomal RNA". It matches the Rfam family "Bacterial small subunit ribosomal RNA", at positions 338 to 795 of the family's 1533-position model. The record is from RNAcentral.
CCUACGGGUGGCAGCAGUGGGGGAUAUUGCACAAUGGGGGAAACCCUGAUGCAGCGAUGCCGCGUGAAUGAAGACGGCCUUCGGGUUGUAAAGCUCUGUCGCAGGAGAAGAAAAUGACGGUACGUUGCAAGAAAGGUCUGGCUAACAACGUGCCAGCAGCCGCGGUAAAACGUAGGGAGCAAGCGUUGUCCGGAAUUAAUGGGUGAAAAGGGAGCGUGGGCGGGUGGAUAAGUUGAAUGUGAAGUCUAUGGGUUCAACCCAUAACUGCGUUCGAAACUGUUAUUCUUGAGUGAAGUAGAGGCAGGCGGAAUUCCUAGUGUAGCGGUGAAAUGCGUAGAUAUUAGGAGGAACACCAGUGGCGAAGGCGGCCUGCUGGGCUGUUACUGACGCUGAGGCUCGAAAGCGUGGGUAGCAAACAGGAUUAGAUACCCUAGUAGUC